RNAcentral lists this ribosomal RNA (1492 nucleotides) under metagenome. RNAcentral's name for it is "bacterial SSU rRNA". It matches the Rfam family "Bacterial small subunit ribosomal RNA". The record is from RNAcentral.
AGAGUUUGAUCAUGGCUCAGAUUGAACGCUGGCGGCAUGCUUUACACAUGCAAGUCGAGCGGUAACGCGGGGGCAACCCUGGCGACGAGUGGCGAACGGGUGAGUAAUACAUCGGAACAUAUCCAGUAGCGGGGGAUAGCCUAUCGAAAGAUGGACUAAUACCGCAUACGAUCUACGGAUGAAAGCAGGGGACCGCAAGGCCUUGCACUAUUGGAGUGGCCGAUGUCGGAUUAGCUAGUUGGUGAGGUAAGGCUUACCAAGGCGACGAUCCGUAGCUGGUCUGAGAGGACGAUCAGCCACACUGGAACUGAGACACGGUCCAGACUCCUACGGGAGGCGGCAGUGGGGAAUUUUGGACAAUGGGCGCAAGCCUGAUCCAGCCAUACCGCGUGAGUGAAGAAGGCCUUCGGGUUGUAAAGCUCUUUCGGUGAAGACGAAACGGUUCGUGCUAAUAACGCGGACUAAUGACGGUACUCACAGAAGAAGCACCGGCUAACUACGUGCCAGCAGCCGCGGUAAUACGUAGGGUGCAGGCGUUAAUCGGAAUUACUGGGCGUAAAGCGUGCGCAGGCGGUUUGCUAAGACAGGUGUGAAAUCCCCGGGCUUAACCUGGGAAUUGCGCUUGUAACUGGCAAGCUAGAGUGUGGCAGAGGGGGGUAGAAUUCCACGUGUAGCAGUGAAAUGCGUAGAUAUGUGGAGGAAUACCGAUGGCGAAGGCAGCCCCCUGGGUUAACACUGACGCUCAUGCACGAAAGCGUGGGGAGCAAACAGGAUUAGAUACCCUGGUAGUCCACGCCCUAAACUAUGUCAACUAGUUGUCGGGGAAGAAAUUCCUUGGUAACGAAGCUAACGCGUGAAGUUGACCGCCUGGGGAGUACGGCCGCAAGGUUAAACCUCAAAGGAAUUGACGGGGACCCGCACAAGCGGUGGAUUAUGUGGAUUAAUUCGAUGCAACGCGAAAAACCUUACCUACCCUUGACAUGCUAGGAAGCCCGCAGAGAUGUGGGUGUGCCCGAAAGGGAACCUAGACACAGGUGCUGCAUGGCUGUCGUCAGCUCGUGUCGUGAGAUGUUGGGUUAAGUCCCGCAACGAGCGCAACCCUUGCCAUUAGUUGCUACAUUCAGUUGGGCACUCUAAUGGGACCGCCGGUGACAAACCGGAGGAAGGUGGGGAUGACGUCAAGUCCUCAUGGCCCUUAUGGGUAGGGCUUCACACGUAAUACAAUGGUCGGUACAGAGGGCUGCCAACCCGCAAGGGGGAGCUAAUCCCAGAAAGCCGAUCGUAGUCCGGAUUGUAGUCUGCAACUCGACUGCAUGAAGCCGGAAUCGCUAGUAAUCGCGGAUCAGCAUGUCGCGGUGAAUACGUUCCCGGGUCUUGUACACACCGCCCGUCACACCAUGGGAGUGGGUUCCACCAGAAGUAGUUAGCCUAACCGCAAGGAGGGCGAUUACCACGGUGAGAUUCAUGACUGGGGUGAAGUCGUAACAAGGUA